RNAcentral lists this unclassified non-coding RNA (509 nucleotides) under uncultured Glomus. RNAcentral describes it as "SSU rRNA". It matches the Rfam family "Eukaryotic small subunit ribosomal RNA", at positions 569 to 1078 of the family's 1831-position model. The record is from RNAcentral. Lineage: Eukaryota; Fungi; Glomeromycota; Glomeromycetes; Glomerales; Glomeraceae.
AGCAGCCGCGGUAAUUCCAGCUCCAAUAGCGUAUAUUAAAGUUGUUGCAGUUAAAAAGCUCGUAGUUGAAUUUCGGGAUCAAGGAAUCGGUCAUGCCUCGGUAUGUACUGGUUUUAUUGGUUCUCACCUUCUAAAGAACCAUGAUGUCAUUCAUUUGAUGUUAUGGGGAAUUAGGACUGUUACCUUGAAAAAAUUUAGAGUGUUUAAAGCAGGCUCACGCUUGAAUACAUUAGCAUGGAAUAAUGAAAUAGGACGUUUGAUUCUAUUUUGUUGGUUUCUAGGAUCGACGUAAUGAUUAAUAGGGAUAGUUGGGGGCAUUAGUAUUCAAUUGUCAGAGGUGAAAUUCUUGGAUUUAUUGAAGACUAACUACUGCGAAAGCAUUUGCCAAGGAUGUUUUCAUUAAUCAAGAACGAAAGUUAGGGGAUCGAAGACGAUCAGAUACCGUCGUAGUCUUAACCAUAAACCAUGCCGACUAGGGAUCGGAUGAUGUUAAUUUUUUUAAUGACUCA